AUUGAACGCUGGCGGCCUGCUUUACACAUGCAAGUCGAACGGUAACAGGCCUUCGGGUGCUGACGAGUGGCGAACGGGUGAGUAAUGCAUCGGAACGUACCCAGAGGUGGGGGAUAACGCAGCGAAAGCUGUGCUAAUACUGCAUGUGAUCUGAGGAUGAAAGCGGGGGACCGAGCAGCAAUGUUUGGCCUCGCGCCUUUGGAGCGGCCGAUGUCGGAUUAGCUAGUUGGUGGGGUAAAGGCCUACCAAGGCGACGAUCCGUAGCUGGUCUGAGAGGACGACCAGCCACACUGGGACUGAGACACGGCCCAGACUCCUACGGGAGGCAGCAGUGGGGAAUUUUGGACAAUGGGCGCAAGCCUGAUCCAGCAAUGCCGCGUGCGGGAAGAAGGCCUUCGGGUUGUAAACCGCUUUUGGCAGGAACGAAACGGUGUCCGCUAAUACCGGGCGCUAAUGACGGUACCUGCAGAAUAAGCACCGGCUAACUACGUG
Molecule: ribosomal RNA, 492 nt
Filed under: uncultured bacterium
Lineage: Bacteria
Description: partial 16S ribosomal RNA
Rfam family: Bacterial small subunit ribosomal RNA
Source: RNAcentral